UUUCUUCUGGUAUUUCUCCGUCCAUAGCUACUUCUCUAACUGCUUUUCUGAGAGCACGUGUGGUUCUUUCAAUUUCUGGAUCCAAUGGUAUUAACGUUGAUCCUGAACUACGCAUACACAAACAGAAAAUACAUCAGUAGCACUAUGAUAAACAAGGAAAUAAAACAAAAAUUAAAAGACUAAAAAAAUAAAAAUAAAAUUUGCAUAAAUGUCGUCUUGUUAAAAAAU
RNAcentral lists this long non-coding RNA (228 nucleotides) under Lathyrus oleraceus (garden pea). RNAcentral's name for it is "Pisum sativum (pea) long non-coding RNA (PSAT_LNC015759)". The record is from RNAcentral. Lineage: Eukaryota; Viridiplantae; Streptophyta; Magnoliopsida; Fabales; Fabaceae.